AAAACCUUCUGUUGAUUCUGAUGGAGUUGCUGGAGCAUCUAUUAGUAAUAUGGAGACUGAAGAGAUGGUUGCUCCAGAGGUGGACAAGAAUUUGCUUGGGGAACUUGAGGCAAUGGGAUUUCCUAUUAACCGAGGAACACGGGCACUUCAUUAUACUGGUAAUGCUAGCCUGGAGGCUGCUG
Papaver somniferum (opium poppy) is the source of this 182-nucleotide long non-coding RNA. RefSeq lists it as uncharacterized. NCBI's taxonomy places the organism in Eukaryota, Viridiplantae, Streptophyta, Magnoliopsida, Ranunculales, Papaveraceae. The transcript is spliced from 3 exons. The record is from RefSeq and is a predicted model, not a curated record.